GUUUGUAAUUGUUUAAUCUUAGCAAUGUUCGAACGUUUUCUGGUAGUUUUACUCAUGCGAGUGAGAGUAAAUUCGAAAGAAUUUAGUUAUUGCGUGCAGGCGAAGAUAAGAAGAAUAGAUACCUUUGAUUCAUUCUUCAUUUUGUAGGUAGUUGUUGAGGUAACGGCUCAACAAGCCAGUGACAAAUAGAAAAGAGCGAAAGCUUCUAUUUCCGCAAUUGGUUUUAAUAGACCGAUGAAUCAGUUUUCUGAUUGCUGCAGAGGAGAAUAUUGGGCAAUGCUCUGAAGAGUGACCCAGCUAACCAGAACUCGAAGUAAAGUAGAGUGUCGUAAGGGAGGAUAAUGACGUUACCUUACUAUAAGUCCAAUCUAAGUCUCGUGCCAGCAGACGCGGUUAUACGAACUGGGCGAACGUUGAAUAAAUAAAUAGGUUUUAAGGAUCUGUAGGCGGCUUGAAAUAUAGCUUGAAUUCAAUGGAGGAAAAUAGAAUGCUAGAAGUAGAGAUGAUAUUCGUUGAUAUCUAGUGGAAUACUAAAGGCGAAAGCAAUUUUCCAAGUAAGAAUUGACGCUGAGAGAUGAAAGUUUGGGGAGCAAAACAGAUUAGCUACCUGAGUAGUCCAAACCGUAAACUAUUUACACUAAUUCUUUGGUAACUACGUAAGUAGAAUAGAAUAUCAGAGAAGAAGCGAAAGGCUGUAUGUGUAACACCUUGUUAGUAAUUUCUCAAGAUUGAAAGCAAAAAGAUUAGACCAUCCUUAAGACCCGGUGUGGAGCAUGUUGUUUAAUACGUCAAUACGCGUAGAACCUUACCUCUCCUUGAAUGUUUCUAAUGUAGAAAUAUAUUAGAUUCACAGGUGUUGCAUGGCUGUCGUCAGUUCGUGUCGUAAGAUGUUAGGUUAAGUCCGCUAACGAACGCAAUCCAUAGUAGAAAUGAAUUCUUUCUCCUGUGAACUUGAUAAAAGUCACUAAAAUGGAAUACGAUAAGCCGUCAUGACCCUUAUGGAGUAUGGGCUACAGACGUGCUACUAAAAUCCAACAAUAAGAUGCGAAAUCGAAAGAUGGAGCAAAUCUAUAAAAUAGGAUUGAAUAAGGAUUGUAGACUGAAAUUCGUCUACAUGAAUCAGGAAUACCGAGUAAUCGUUUAUUAGUACGGAACGGUGAAUUGUUCUAUUAAGGAGAUACUAACUGUCUAUCACAUCUUGGUUAUGUUGGAAGAUGGAACUUGGAAUAUUCUUUUCAAGGACAUUGAAAAUGGAACUGAGGUGAAGUUAUAGCAAGGUAGCCGUAAGGGAACUUGUGGCUGAUGGAUAAAUUUCAAU
This 1318-nucleotide ribosomal RNA is filed under the name Malassezia sympodialis. RNAcentral describes it as "SSU rRNA". It matches the Rfam family "Bacterial small subunit ribosomal RNA". The record is from RNAcentral. Lineage: Eukaryota; Fungi; Basidiomycota; Malasseziomycetes; Malasseziales; Malasseziaceae.